Molecule: ribosomal RNA, 1807 nt
Filed under: Triticum aestivum (bread wheat)
Lineage: Eukaryota; Viridiplantae; Streptophyta; Magnoliopsida; Poales; Poaceae
Description: partial small subunit ribosomal RNA
Source: RNAcentral
CAGAAGGAGGGGGGGAGGGAGAAUUUUCGGGGGCGAAGGAACGAAGGACGAAGAAGUCGAAGUUAAGGGGCGGGCGAGGCAGGUGGUGGUGGUGGCGGGUUCUCUCUCUCCGUAGGUCAGGGACGGCACGGUUGAGCGUCGGCGUAGCGGUAGGUCUAAGAUCUGGGCGUCGUUCGCAGCCUAGUUUGGAGGGAGAUCAUAAAGUUCUCCCGAGAGGAGCGGCCGCCGCGUCAAGUUUCUGUGUGUGUGUGUGUGUGUGUGUGUGUCUCUCUCUCUCUCUCUCUCUCUCUCUCUCUCUCUCUCUCUCUCUCUCUCUCUCUCUGCGGUCUAUCUGUCUAUCUACAACCCGCCGCCGUUUUACUUCCCCCUGCGCCAAUCGCCGCCGUCGUCGUCGUAAUCGGGGUACCACAGGAAGCACGACCCGCGGCGGCGCCGGUGGCAGACGCAGGAGAAGAAGUACAGGCGGUCGGGGCCGGCGUCGGAGCAGCUGUAGCGGCGUACCUCGGUGUUGUUGCCGUGGCGGUGGGUCGUGGUGGUGGACGCGAGGCAGCGGCUGCGGCGGGUGUUGCGGUGGCGGCAGCGGCAGCGCCGAGGCCGUGGGCGGGGGCAGGUCCGCAGCGGCAUGCCCCUGGACCUCCUCCACGACCGCGCCCGCCGCUGCCGCCUGGCCUGCCACUAGUACUGCGUCUAGUUGCGCCGCACCUGGUUCGGCCCCAGCGACGACCUGGAGAAGAAGCUCUCGAAGGCGUGGCCCCUCCCGCCGCACCGCGCGGACGAGCUGGUGGAGCAGUAGCAGUGGUACCUGGGCCGGCGCAUGCGCCCCACGGUCGAGCACGUGGGCGUGACGAUAAAAGACUCCUGCUGGCCGCAGCUGAUGGCGCCGCUCUUCAAGAAGUACUCGUUCCUGAUGGAGCUCUACUACACCCCGGCGUUGUUCAAGGUCGUCUGGUAGGAGGUCGAGCCUAUGUUGAAGGAGAAGUGCCUGCACCUGCACUACACCAAGGCACUGGGCAAGUUCGUGUAGAGGUACCCCCGCCUGUAGCGGUAGAGGUCGCUGCAGAAGUACCCGCUGGGGAUGUCGGAGCCGUUGAAGGGGUUGCCGCCGAAGGAGAAGCACGCGAGGACGUUGUUCUGGUAGCUCAAGAUGGCGGUGACCGUCCGCCCCGCGAUGGCGAAGAAGCCGUUCGUGCUCGUCCUGCACAAGUUGGAGUAGUUCGUGCUGUACUGCCUGGCGGAGCCGCAGCGGUAGGUCAAGGAGCUGUGGUGGAUGUAGUCGCCGAAGACAGUCGAGUCGUCCCUGGAGUUGUUCUAGACGUGGGACGUGCGGUUGACGACGCAGCCCGAGCCCCGGUUCGAGGUACUAAACUCCUUACACGACCUGCACACCUCCUUGAUGUGCCGCCGCGGCCACGGCCUGUUCUCCCGGCCGUUCAAGGUCACCUUCCAUGGGCCCUAUACGUAGGUGACUAGGUUGAGUACCUACUCAAGCACGUAAACCAACGGGUAAGAAAGACGAGAAGAACGAACGGACGAAGAAGAGCACCUUUCUCUACCUCCCCUAACUCUCCCCGUCGUAGCUAGCUAACUAAGUAAAACACUUUAGUAAAGUCGAUCUACUAAUAAUCAUUCAAUAAUAUGAUAUAUACAUGUGUUUGUAUAUGUGUCUCAUCAUCAUGAGGUCAUACGCACGUCGUGUACGUACGUACAUACGACCAGGACCGGCUGAGGAGGACCGGACAUUAAUUUCUACUUACUCAUUUCGUCAUCGAACAAAUACGUCGUGUUCACAACAAAAGAACUAAAAAAA